Molecule: ribosomal RNA, 548 nt
Filed under: uncultured bacterium
Lineage: Bacteria
Description: bacterial SSU rRNA
Rfam family: Bacterial small subunit ribosomal RNA
Source: RNAcentral
UGGGGAAUAUUGGACAAUGGGCGCAAGCCUGAUCCAGCAAUGCCGCGUGUGUGAAGAAGGCCUUCGGGUUGUAAAGCACUUUUGUCCGGAAAGAAAACUUCUGCCCUAAUACGGUGGGAGGAUGACGGUACCGGAAGAAUAAGCACCGGCUAACUACGUGCCAGCAGCCGCGGUAAUACGUAGGGUGCGAGCGUUAAUCGGAAUUACUGGGCGUAAAGCGUGCGCAGGCGGUUCGUUAAGACAGAUGUGAAAUCCCCGGGCUUAACCUGGGAACUGCAUUUGUGACUGGCGAGCUAGUGUAUGGCAGAGGGGGGUAGAAUUCCACGUGUAGCAGUGAAAUGCGUAGAGAUGUGGAGGAAUACCGAUGGCGAAGGCAGCCCCCUGGGCCAAUACUGACGCUCAUGCACGAAAGCGUGGGGAGCAAACAGGAUUAGAUACCCUGGUAGUCCACGCCCUAAACGAUGUCAACUAGUUGUUGGGGAUUCAUUUCCUUAGUAACGUAGCUAACGCGUGAAGUUGACCGCCUGGGGAGUACGGUCGCAAGAUUA